UUAUUUUUAAGUUUGUUCCUAGGUAGUUUAUGUCUUUGGUUGUUUAUGUUGAUUAUGUUUGGUUGUUUAUUUUUUUUUGAUAGUUUGUGUUUUUUGGUUGCUUUUGUGAAUAGGAUCUUCUUCCAGGGAGGUCUUUAUAUGACACAUUGUAAAAGAAACUAAUAAAUAUUUUUUAGAACUUCAGUGUCUUAAGGAAAUUUUACUUACCUCUUUUAUUUGUAAAUAAUUAUCAAAAAGUUCUGGGACGGUGGUUCACACCUGUAAUCCCAGCACUUUGGGAGGCUGAGGCAAGAGGAUUGCUUGAACUCAUGAGUUGGAGACCAGCCUGGCCAACAUGGUGAAACCCCAUCUGUAUUAAAACUACAAAAAAUUACCUGGGCAUGGUGGCGCGCUCCUGUAGUCCCAGCUACUCAGGAGGCUGAGGCAGGAGAAUCGCUUGAACCUGGGAAGCGGAGGUUGCAGUGAGCUGAGAUCGCGCCACUGCGCUCCAGCCUGAGCAACAGAGCAAAACCUUGUCUCAAAAUAAUAAUAAUAAUGGUUAAAAAUGAUCAUAGUUGCUUUGUAAUGUGUCCUGUUGGCUUUUCAUUUAAUGGUGGUACAAAGGUAACAGAAUUUUGGAGAAAUUCCAAAUUGCAUGGUGGUGUUGAAAGCUUUCCCACUUCAGGAGCUGCUGCAGGAAGUCUCUAUUUGGCUGCCAGAAAAGAACACCUAAAAGCUGAGUCACUCAACAGUUUGCAAGAUUUGGCAGCCAAGGUUUGCAGAGCAAGGUUCCAGGGACAUGACACUGGUUCCUAAAAAAGGUAGCAGGAAUCCAGAUACAUAAAAGGCAGUGCACUGAUCUCAUCCGGUGAUUAGGAGGAAAUCGAACAUUCAUCCCACCUGAGGAACAUUUACUGAGCUCUGCCUGGGGCCAGGAAUCCAAAAAGAACUUCAGAGAGUAAAUAAAGAAUUAUAAUAGAGUGAGGCGAAUGCUGUGAGGUAAGCUGAAGGUGUCACAGGAGCCCAAAGGAAGAACUUGCUCACUUUUCCUGUAAAGAGGGUGGGAUGGGUAAUUGGAAAGAUGUCACCAAGGAGAUGUGUGAGCCUGGCUCUGCAGACAAGACAAGGUAUCAGGUACCUCUAAGAGGGGGCAGGGAAUUCUCAGCUUUCAAGAGCCAAACAGCCAUGACUAGAAGCAUGUGUUAGCCAGCAGCAGAGACCCAGGCAGGCAGAUGAGGAAGAUGAGUUACUUCCCCAAGGGUGGGGCUGGUGCUCCUUCAAGCCCUCCCUCUUAGGGCCAGCUUGUGCCAAGACCUGAGCAGGGGUUGGAGCUGAAGGUCAGCAGCAACUAUAUGGCCUGCAGAAGAGAAGGGGUGGGGCUGAGUCAGAUACACAUUUAUCUGAUAUCAGUUCAAUUUCCCGGGGGGCAGGGUGGAAAUAUGGGCACAGUGUGUCGAGGCAGAGAAGCAGAAAACAUGGGCCUGAAGGCACUGGUUUAUGCCUGACCACAGGGAAAGGUUUAGAAACAAGCCCUGCCUAGUCCACUCCUCCACCCCCUCCACCCGCCAUGAUUUGUCCAACGGCUGGCUCCAUUUGGCAGUAUGCCCCGAGGAUCUGGAUGCUGAGGAUGACUUAGGUUCCAGGGUCUAGCCAAGGUAACCCAGCACUUCAGCCUACAUCUUCAGCAUCACUGGGUAGGCUUAUUAAACACAAGAUGCUGGGCCCACCCCUGAGUCUCUGAUUCAGCAGGUCUAGAAGGGGGCCCCCUAAAUUAUGCUUUAACAAGUUCCAGGUGAUUCUAGUCCAGGGACCAUGUUUUGAGAACCACCAAGGUAAUCCAAGCCGGGUAUCCUCGUUGACCAAGGGCCCUGGAGAUGCUGCCUGGGGCUAAGACAAGGGCACUGGAUUUGAAAGCUGAGGGUUCUGGUUGCGGGCUGGCUCAGGCUACUCGGUUGCCACAUGUACAAAAGGGUAAUUCUGCAUCUUAAAUAAGACCUUAGAUAUGAAAGCCCUUUGUCAACUGAGAGGUGAGAUUUGAUGUCAGUUUUUUUACAUGCAAACCUAGGGCUGUAAAGUUUGCUCAUUUCUCCUAAAAUAAUUAUGGCUGUGGUCUGAGGACCACACGUACAACAGGAUCCUCUGGGAAGCUUCCUAGAAUGCAGACUUUGCAGCUCUAAAUCUUGAUGUGGACCCUAUCAUCACAUUUACAUUUUCAGCACAUCUUCAGUGAUUCUUGUGCACCCCAAGGAAUUUGAAAACCACUUGCUUAUGCUGGGGCGGUAGUGAGGGAUGGAAAAAAGCUGUUCUUCCGUUUUCUGAUCUGCUGUUGGGCCAGGAAGAUCCCCCGCCCUCGCCCUGAAGUUUCCUUGCUGCCAGCAUCCUUUGGGAACCUCUCAUCUCAGGAAGGCUGCCUCUCUGCCCCGUCAUUUUCCUCCUGGCUCCCAGCUGCAUGCAGGCGCCACCUCCUGGCAACAUAGUUCUUUCACUCUUUUUCUCCUGUUGUGUUAAUCAGAUCCUCCCCACAUUAAGUGUUGAGAAAAAGAGCCUUUCCAAUGUCAGAAAGAAAUGUGAUUCUCUUACAUUUGAGGGGUUUCGAUGCCUCCUUAAAUGUCUUCACUUCUUGUGAUUUUACUAUUCCACUCUCUAAAAAACAACAAUUAAUAAAUAUAUAUACGUUUAAUUCUUAGUUUUAAUUUAAUUUUUUUUUUUGUAGACAGAGUCUCCCUCGGUUGCUCAGGCUAGAGUGCAGUGGUGUGAUCUCAGCUCACUGCAACCUCCGCCUCCCAGCAUGCACCACCACGCCCACCUAGUUUUUUGUGUGUUUUCGUAGAGAUGGGGUUUCACCAUGUUGGCCAGGCUGGUCUCCAACUCCUGAUCUCAGGUGAUCCACCUGCCUCAGCCUCCCAAAGUGCUGAGAUUACAGGCAUGAGCCACUGUGCCUGGCCUUAGUUUUAAUUUUUAAUACAGUAAAUAUCAACAGAUAUAUCUCACAUAAAAACAUUUUGGGGCCGUGUGUGUGUGUGUGUGUGUGUGUGUGUGUGCGUGUGUGUAUGUGUGUUAUUUUUUUUAACUCUAGGUGCUAACCUUAAAUAAUUCUCCUCUGGGCCAGAUGUGGUGGCUCAUGCCUGUAAUUCCAACACUUUGGGAGGGUGAAGCAAGAGGAUCAUUGGAGGCCAGGAGCUUGAGACCUGCCUGGCCAAGACCCAGUUUCCGCACACACAAAAAAGAAAAAUUAGCCAGGCAUGGUGGCAAGCACCUGUGGUCCCAGCUAUUUGAGAGGCUGAAGUGGGAGGAUCACUUGAGCACAGGACAUGGAGGCUACAGUGAGCUAUGAUCACACCACUGCACUCCAGCCUGGGUGACAGAGUGAGACCCUGUCUCUAAAAACAGCAACAAUAAUAGUCCUCUGUAUAUUUUAAGAGAACAAAGGAUUCUAAGACCAAAGAGUUUGCGAGUCACUGACUUAUAUAUUUAUAAAAUGGAAACAAAAGUCUCACACUACAAUAGUCAUCCUUACAUCAUACAAUGUACCCUGAG
RNAcentral lists this long non-coding RNA (3516 nucleotides) under Pan paniscus (pygmy chimpanzee). RNAcentral describes it as "lncRNA (ENSPPAG00000045597.1)". The record is from RNAcentral. Lineage: Eukaryota; Metazoa; Chordata; Mammalia; Primates; Hominidae.